RNAcentral lists this ribosomal RNA (499 nucleotides) under Enterococcus faecalis. RNAcentral's name for it is "partial 23S ribosomal RNA". It matches the Rfam family "Bacterial large subunit ribosomal RNA", at positions 1 to 500 of the family's 2925-position model. Lineage: Bacteria; Bacillati; Bacillota; Bacilli; Lactobacillales; Enterococcaceae. The record is from RNAcentral.
GGUUAAGUGAAUAAGGGCGCACGGUGGAUGCCUUGGCACUAGGAGCCGAUGAAGGACGGGACUAACACCGAUAUGCUUUGGGGAGCUGUAAGUAAGCUAUGAUCCAGAGAUUUCCGAAUGGGGGAACCCAAUAUCUUUUAUAGGAUAUUACUUUUCAGUGAAUACAUAGCUGAUUAGAGGUAGACGCAGAGAACUGAAACAUCUUAGUACCUGCAGGAAGAGAAAGAAAAUUCGAUUCCCUGAGUAGCGGCGAGCGAAACGGGAAGAGCCCAAACCAACAAGCUUGCUUGUUGGGGUUGUAGGACUCCAAUAUGGUAGUCUGUUAGUAUAGUUGAAGGAUUUGGAAAAUUCCGCUAAAGAGGGUGAAAGCCCCGUAGACGAAAUGCUGACAACACCUAGGAGGAUCCUGAGUACGGCGGAACACGAGAAAUUCCGUCGGAAUCCGCGGGGACCAUCCCGCAAGGCUAAAUACUCCCUAGUGACCGAUAGUGAACCAGUA